Molecule: ribosomal RNA, 356 nt
Filed under: uncultured bacterium
Lineage: Bacteria
Description: bacterial SSU rRNA
Rfam family: Bacterial small subunit ribosomal RNA
Source: RNAcentral
AGAGUUUGAUCAUGGCUCAGGAUGAACGCUAGCUACAGGCUUAACACAUGCAAGUCGAGGGGAAACGACAUCGAAAGCUUGCUUUUGAUGGGCGUCGACCGGCGCACGGGUGAGUAACGCGUAUCCAACCUGCCCACCACUUGGGGAUAACCUUGCGAAAGUAAGACUAAUACCCAAUGAUAUCUCUAGAAGACAUCUGAAAGAGAUUAAAGAUUUAUCGGUGAUGGAUGGGGAUGCGUCUGAUUAGCUUGGUUGGCGGGGUAACGGCCCGACCAAGGCUACGAUCGAGUAGGGGUUCUGAGAGGAAGGUCCCCCANAUUGGAACUGAGACACGGUCCAAACUCCUACGGGAAGCA